GUAUCAUGGCUCAGGAUGAACGCUAGCUACAGGCUUAACACAUGCAAGUCGAGGGGCGAGCAUGGUCUUAGCUUGCUAAGGCUGAUGGCGACCGGCGCACGGGUGAGUAACACGUAUCCAACCUGCCGUCUACUCUUGGCCAGCCUUCUGAAAGGAAGAUUAAUCCAGGAUGGCAUCAUGAGUUCACAUGUCCGCAUGAUUUAAAGGUAUUUUCCGGUAGACGAUGGGG
This 229-nucleotide ribosomal RNA is filed under the name uncultured bacterium. Its description in RNAcentral is "partial 16S ribosomal RNA". It matches the Rfam family "Bacterial small subunit ribosomal RNA", at positions 14 to 230 of the family's 1533-position model. The record is from RNAcentral.